This 403-nucleotide ribosomal RNA is filed under the name uncultured bacterium. RNAcentral describes it as "bacterial SSU rRNA". It matches the Rfam family "Bacterial small subunit ribosomal RNA", at positions 28 to 419 of the family's 1533-position model. The record is from RNAcentral.
GAUUAACGCUGGCGGUGUGCCUUAUGCAUGCAAGUCGAACGGACCUUUAUUUUUGAGACCUCCUACCCUUAGGAUGCCUCAUAAAUAAUGGUUAGUGGCGAACGGGUGAGUAACACGUUGGUACCUACCCUGAAGUGGGGGAGUAACUGGCUGAAAGGUCAGCUAAUACCGCAUGUGAUCGCAAGAUCAAAGCAGCAAUGCGCUUCAGGAGGGGCCUGCGUCUGAUAGCUAGUUGGUAGUGUAAUGGACUACCAAGGCGACGAUCAGUAGCUGGUUCGAGAGGAUGAACAGCCACACUGGGACUGAGAUACGGCCCAGACUCCUACGGGAGGCAGCAGCAGGGAAUCUUCCACAAUGGACGAAAGUCUGAUGGAGCAACACCGCGUGCAGGAUGACGGUCUUC